Molecule: non-coding RNA, 30 nt
Filed under: Mus musculus (house mouse)
Lineage: Eukaryota; Metazoa; Chordata; Mammalia; Rodentia; Muridae
Source: RNAcentral
UCGGAACCCUGUCUUUACUUUGGUCUGAUC